AAAAAUCUCGUUAAAAGCUUCUCCCUAUCAUGGGGAAUGACAAAAGUCAGGUAGGAUUUGGUCUCCUCUGCUGGCAUUACAUCCAAAUGAUAUUUGAAAAACUGCUUUACAUCCUCGUGUUGAUUGGAAAGAUCCACGGAUGCAUUUGGAGGAGAUUGUUCAGCAUUGCUUUCAAUAAAGCUCACAUUAGUGAUGAAACCGGUACCGAAUCUCGACUUCAACCUGAUUGAUGUUCCGAUGCAUCGGAGCCUACCCUUGGCCAUAAUUCCUAUGCGAUCACUUAGAAUGUCAGCUUCUUCCAUUGAAUGUGUUGUCAGGACAAUGGAACGACCUUUCUUUGCAUUCUGUAUUAUAUCCCAGACAUGUCUUCUCGAUAUUGGAUCCAUACCAGUAGUCGGUUCGUCUAGAAUGACCAACUUUGGGUUCCCAAUAAGUGCUAUUGCAACACUGAGCCGGCGUCUCAUUCCUCCACUGUAACUCCUGGUUCUCACUUUAGCUGCCUCAGUGAGUCUUACCUCUGCUAAUGAUUCCUCAGCAACCAAAUUUAUUGAAUCUGGGGGUAGGCCUUUAAUGCUAGCAAAGAGAUGGAGAUGCUCUGCACCAGAUAAUGCAUCCCAAAGGAUGUCAAACUGGGGACAAACUCCUAUGAUUCUUCGAAUGUUGGACAUGCCAACAGGGCUCCGAAUGGAAUAUCCAUAAAUCAAAGCAUCUCCACUGGUCACAGGUGUUAAGCCUGUCAAACAAUUGAUUGCGGUAGUUUUUCCAGCGCCAUUUGGUCCAAGGAGACAAAAUAACUGAUCCUUUGCAAAGUUCAUCCAUAAGCCCUUGAGAGCAUGGUAAGGUGAAGUUUUCUUGCAUUUACAACAACCAAUCUUCGUAGUCCCAGCAUAUACCUUUGCAAGUCCACGUACCUGAACUGCAACCUCUGGAUUGACUAAGCCAUCUUUUGCUUCUUGUUUAACAAUAUUUUCCUCUUCAAGCACAUCCUCAUCUUCUGGAGUAAUAUGCUCUUGUUGUGGGACUGAACCCAUGCAACUACAAAUGCCACCCUCUUCCACUCUAUUUCCACCUUUUCCAGUCCAAUACCCAGGCUUUAAGAAAUAAAAU
RNAcentral lists this unclassified non-coding RNA (1107 nucleotides) under Hevea brasiliensis (rubber tree). Lineage: Eukaryota; Viridiplantae; Streptophyta; Magnoliopsida; Malpighiales; Euphorbiaceae. The record is from RNAcentral.